RNAcentral lists this ribosomal RNA (253 nucleotides) under uncultured bacterium. Its description in RNAcentral is "partial 16S ribosomal RNA". It matches the Rfam family "Bacterial small subunit ribosomal RNA", at positions 524 to 776 of the family's 1533-position model. The record is from RNAcentral.
UACGGGGGGGGCAAGCGUUGUUCGGAAUUACUGGGCGUAAAGGGUUUGUAGGUGGCCCGCUAAGUCACACGUUAAAUCCCUCAGCUUAACUGGGGAACUGCGUGUGAGACUGGCAGGCUCGAGGGCAGGAGAGGAACGCGGAAUUCCAGGUGUAGCGGUGAAAUGCGUAGAUAUCUGGAGGAACACCGGUGGCGAAGGCGGCAUCCUGGACCGGUAUUGACGCUGAGGAGCGAAAGCCAGGGGAGCAAACGGG